ACCUCAGUCCAGUGUGUUUAUCAGGUCUAGUCUGUCUAAUAAACCUCACUAAUGUGUUUAUCAGGUCUAGUCUGUCUAAUAAACCUCAGUCCAGUGUGUUUAUCAGGUCUAGUCUGUCUAAUUAACCUCAGUCCAGUGUGUUUAUCAGGUCUAGUCUGUCUAAUUAACCUCACUAAUGUGUUUAUCAGGUCUAGUCUGUCUAAUAAACCUCAGUCCAGUGUGUUUAUCAGGUCUAGUCUGUCUAAUUAACCUCACUAAUGUGUUUAUCAGGUCUAGUCUGUCUAAUAAACCUCAGUCCAGUGUGUUUAUCAGGUCUAGUCUGUCUAAUUAACCUCAGUCCAGUGUGUUUAUCAGGUCUAGUCUGUCUAAUAAACCUCAGUCCAGUGUGUUUAUCAGGUCUAGUCUGUCUAAUAAACCUCAGUCCAGUGUGUUUAUCAGGUCUAGUCUGUCUAAUUAACCUCACUAAUGUGUUUAUCAGGUCUAGUCUGUCUAAUUAACCUCAGUCCAGUGUGUUUAUCAGGUCUAGUCUGUCUAAUUAACCUCAGUCCAGUGUGUUUAUCAGGUCUAGUCUGUCUAAUAAACCUCAGUCCAGUGUGUUUAUCAGGUCUAGUCUGUCUAAUUAACCUCACUAAUGUGUUUAUCAGGUCUAGUCUGUCUAAUUAACCUCAGUCCAGUGUGUUUAUCAGGUCUAGUCUGUCUAAUUAACCUCAGUCCAGUGUGUUUAUCAGGUCUAGUCUGUCUAAUAAACCUCACUAAUGUGUUUAUCAGGUCUAGUCUGUCUAAUAAACCUCAGUCCAGUGUGUUUAUCAGGUCUAGUCUGUCUAAUUAACCUCAGUCCAGUGUGUUUAUCAGGUCUAGUCUGUCUAAUAAACCUCAGUCCAGUGUGUUUAUCAGGUCUAGUCUGUCUAAUUAACCUCAGUCCAGUGUGUUUAUCAGGUCUAGUCUGUCUAAUUAACCUCAGUCCAGUGUGUUUAUCAGGUCUAGUCUGUCUAAUUAACCUCACUAAUGUGUUUAUCAGGUCUAGUCUGUCUAAUUAACCUCACUAAUGUGUUUAUCAGGUCUAGUCUGUCUAAUUAACCUCAGUCCAGUGUGUUUAUCAGGUCUAGUCUGUUUAAUUAACCUCAGUCCAGUGUGUUUAUCUGGUCUAGUCUGUCUAAUUAACCUCACUAAUGUGUUUAUCAGGUCUAGUCUGUCUAAUAAACCUCACUAAUGUGUUUAUCAGGUCUAGUCUGUCUAAUAAACCUCAGUCCAGUGUGUUUAUCAGGUCUAGUCUGUCUAAUUAACCUCAGACCAGUGUGUUUAUCAGGUCUAGUCUGUCUAAUUAACCUCAGUCCAGUGUGUUUAUCAGGUCUAGUCUGUCUAAUUAACCUCAGUCCAGUGUGUUUAUCAGGUCUAGUCUGUCUAAUUAACCUCACUAAUGUGUUUAUCAGGUCUAGUCUGUCUAAUAAACCUCAGUCCAGUGUGUUUAUCAGGUCUAGUCUGUCUAAUUAACCUCACUAAUGUGUUUAUCAGGUCUAGUCUGUCUAAUUAACCUCACUAAUGUGUUUAUCAGGUCUAGUCUGUCUAAUAAACCUCAGACCAGUGUGUUUAUCAGGUCUAGUCUGUCUAAUUAACCUCAGUCCAGUGUGUUUAUCAGGUCUAGUCUGUCUAAUUAACCUCACUAAUGUGUUUAUCAGGUCUAGUCUGUCUAAUAAACCUCAGUCCAGUGUGUUUAUCAGGUCUAGUCUGUCUAAUUAACCUCAGUCCAGUGUGUUUAUCAGGUCUAGUCUGUCUAAUAAACCUCAGUCCAGUGUGUUUAUCAGGUCUAGUCUGUCUAAUUAACCUCAGUCCAGUGUGUUUAUCAGGUCUAGUCUGUCUAAUAAACCUCACUAGUGUGUUUAUCAGGUCUAGUCUGUCUAAUAAACCUCAGUCCAGUGUGUUUAUCAGGUCUAGUCUGUUUAAUUAACCUCAGUCCAGUGUGUUUAUCAGGUCUAGUCUGUCUAAUUAACCUCAGUCCAGUGUGUUUAUCAGGUCUAGUCUGUCUAAUAAACCUCAGUCCAGUGUGUUUAUCAGGUCUAGUCUGUCUAAUAAACCUCACUAAUGUGUUUAUUAGGUCUAGUCUGUCUAAUAAACCUCAGUCCAGUGUGUUUAUCUGGUCUAGUCUGUCUAAUUAACCUCAGUCCAGUGUGUUUAGUCUAGUCUGUCUAAUUAACCUCACUAAUGUGUUUAUCAGGUCUAGUCUGUCUAAUUAACCUCAGUCCAGUGUGUUUAUCAGGUCUAGUCUGUCUAAUUAACCUCA
This is a non-coding RNA of Oncorhynchus mykiss (rainbow trout), 2278 nucleotides long. The record is from RefSeq and is a predicted model, not a curated record. NCBI's taxonomy places the organism in Eukaryota, Metazoa, Chordata, Actinopteri, Salmoniformes, Salmonidae.